GGUUUUAGAAACAAAGACGAUAAAGUAUCUUUUACAAAAAAAAAAAAACGUAAGUUGUUUAUUAUCUUCAUCUAUGAAAAAAACAAAUUUGAAUGUAGUUCCAUUAAAAGAUUAUUUACAAAGACAAGAGGAAGUUUUAAAAAAACCUUCCGAAAGUUUAUACAAUUUUGUUACUAACCAUAUUUUAAAAGUUGAUAGUUCUUUAGUGAACUAUCUAAAAAAUAUAUCCUAUUUAUCUAUUUUGAAUAUUUAUUUAACAUUAAAAUUAUGUAAUAAUAAUAUAAAAAAAUGUUUAAAUUUUAUGGUUUUUAUAUGGGGUAUAGAUAUAAUAAAAAAAGGCUGUUCUAUUAAUUAUUAUAACAUGACAUUAAAAACAAGUAUAUUACUUUCUGAUGAAAAAUCAAAAAACAUAUUACUUAACAAUGGUGAUGACGAUAUACAAGCAGAUAGUAGUCCCAAAAUAAGAAUUUCAACUAGUAAUGAUAAUCAAAAACAAAAUAUAAUUAAUGUCUUAAAUAAUAAUGAAAAUGAUGAUAUUACACCUAUCGAAAUUUAUAAUAAUAAAACAAAUAAUCAAAUAAACACAAAAUUGAGUUCACAAAAAACAUUAUUAUUGUCAGAACAUACACCAAGUAUACUACAAUCGAAUAAAGAAAAACAAAAUUUUAGUCGAAAAAAAAUAAACAAUAAUAUAGAUAUUUUUGAUUUGAAUGACUUGACAGGAUUAACAAAAAUUAAAAAUAAAGAACAUUUAAAUGAACGUCAUAUGGUAAUAACAAAAUAUGAAAAAAAUAAAAUGGAUAUAAGUCGUAGUAGUAGUAUUAGUAUUACUAGUAUCAGUAGUAGCAGUAGUAGUAGUAGUAGUAGCAGUUAUAAUUAUUAUCAACAAAAACGAAUAAGAAGUGAAAUUAUAACAUAUAUUUCACCAUACAAAAAUGAAACAAAAAGAACAAAAUAUAAAAUGUAUAAAGAGUAUUAUAAAAUAAGAUCAAGUAGUCUAGAUUUUAGAAAAAAAAUGAAAAAAAACAAAUUUCAAAGAAGUAAAGAAUGGAGGGUAAGCCCAAAUAAUGAAGAAUUAAAACAUAAGCAUAUUGAUAUCGGUGAAAUUUAUUUGGAUAGAGUCAAAUCAAAUGAUAAACAAUUAGGUAAAUCUAAAAGUGGAGAAUAUGUUACGAUUAGUCGUACGAGUAGUAGUACUGUUAACCGUAAUAACAAUCAAAUUUGUAAAAAGGUUAAAAGCAUAACUGGAAACGAAAUAGGAACUAAAACUGAUGUCACAAAUGAAAAUAAUGAAAACAAUUUUAAUAUUAAUAAAACAGGUGAUAUAUUAAAAAAGAUCGAAGCAAACGAUUUUGUUUAUGCUAAAUUGUUGAAUGGUAAAUUGAUUAAAUUAAAAAUUAAACAGUCAUCGGACCCAGGUACUUUAAAUAGUAAUACACCUUUACUAUUUGUUGAAUCAAAAGACGAUUAUGAAAUUAAUCCUGACUUAGUACUAUUAAAUGUAAACGAAACCAAAAGAAUAUCUGAGUCAAAUGAACGAAAUGAAAGAAAUGAAAAAAAUGAAA
This is a long non-coding RNA of Piliocolobus tephrosceles (Ugandan red Colobus), 1565 nucleotides long. The record is from Ensembl. Lineage: Eukaryota; Metazoa; Chordata; Mammalia; Primates; Cercopithecidae.